Molecule: ribosomal RNA, 494 nt
Filed under: uncultured bacterium
Lineage: Bacteria
Description: partial 16S ribosomal RNA
Rfam family: Bacterial small subunit ribosomal RNA
Source: RNAcentral
GACGAACGCUGGCGGCGCGCUUAACACAUGCAAGUCGAACGGAAAGGCCUGCUUUCCCUUGUGGAUUGCGGGUACUCGAGUGGCGAACGGGUGAGUAACACGUGAGUGAUCUGCCCCCAACUUGGGUAUAAGCCUGGGAAACUGGGUCUAAUUCCCGAUAGGACUGCAGGGUGGUGCCUGUGGUGGAAAACGAUUUUCUAGUGGUUGGGGAUGAGCUCGCGGCCUAUCAGCUUGUUGGUGGGGUAAUGGCCUACCAAGGCGGCGACGGGUAGCCGGCCUAAGAGGGUGGACGGCCACAUUGGGACUGAGAUACGGCCCAGACUCCUACGGGAGGCAGCAGUGGGGAAUAUUGCACAAUGGGCGGAAGCCUGAUGCAGCGACGCCGCGUGGGGGAUGACGGCCUUCGGGUUGUAAACUCCUUUCGACCGCGAGGAAGCCACCUGGUUGGAAGGGUGGUGACGGUAGUGGUAGAAGAAGCACCGGCUAACUACGUG